This 482-nucleotide ribosomal RNA is filed under the name uncultured bacterium. RNAcentral describes it as "partial 16S ribosomal RNA". It matches the Rfam family "Bacterial small subunit ribosomal RNA", at positions 30 to 507 of the family's 1533-position model. The record is from RNAcentral.
AUUGAACGCUGGCGGCAUGCCUUACACAUGCAAGUCGAACGGUAACGGGCCUUCGGGUGCCGACGAGUGGCGAACGGGUGAGUAAUACAUCGGAACGUGCCCGAUCGUGGGGGAUAACGAGGCGAAAGCUUUUCUAAUACCGCAUACGAUCUACGGAUGAAAGCAGGGGACCGCAAGGCCUUGCGCGGACGGAGCGGCCGAUGGCAGACUAGGUAGUUGGUGGGAUAAAAGCUUACCAAGCCGACGAUCUGUAGCUGGUCUGAGAGGAUGAUCAGCCACACUGGGACUGAGACACGGCCCAGACCCCUACGGGAGGCAGCAGUGGGGAAUUUUGGACAAUGGGCGCAAGCCUGAUCCAGCCAUGCCGCGUGCAGGGUGAAGGCCUUCGGGUUGUAAACUGCUUUUGUACGGAACGAAAAGCCUUCUUUUAAUACAGGAGGGUCAUGACGGUACCGUAAGAAUAAGCACCGGCUAACUACGUG